GACGAACGCUUGCGGCGUGCCUAAGAAAUGCAAGUCGAGCGAGGUUUAGGCUUCGGCCGACGACCUAGCGGCGAACGGUCGCGUAACACGUAAGCAACCUGCCCUAAAGUUGGGGAUAGCCCGCCGAAAGGCGGAUUAAUACCGAAUGUGGAUAUGAUUUCGCAUGUGAUUAUAUCUGAAGCAGCGAUGCGCUUUAGGAUGGGCUUGCGGCCUAUCAGUUAGUUGGUGUGGGUAACGGCCUACCAAGACGACGACGGGUAGCUGGUCUGAGAGGAUGGUCAGCCGGAUUGGGACUGAGACACGGCCCAGACUCCUACGGGGGGCAGCAAUUAGGAAUCUUGCGCAAUGGGCGAAAGCCUGACGCAGCGACGCCGCGUGACUGAUGAAGUCUUUCGAGAUGUAAAGGUCUUUUGUUGGGGACGUAAGGAAGUGACGGUACCCGACGAAUAAGCCCCGGCUAACUACGUGCCAGCAGCCGCGGUAAGAGUGUGUGUA
This 495-nucleotide ribosomal RNA is filed under the name uncultured bacterium. RNAcentral's name for it is "bacterial SSU rRNA". It matches the Rfam family "Bacterial small subunit ribosomal RNA", at positions 28 to 533 of the family's 1533-position model. The record is from RNAcentral.